Molecule: ribosomal RNA, 1385 nt
Filed under: uncultured organism
Description: 16S ribosomal RNA
Rfam family: Bacterial small subunit ribosomal RNA
Source: RNAcentral
GACGACCGGCGCACGGGUGAGUAACGCGUAUGCAAACUGCCAUCCACUGGGGGAUAGCCCGGAGAAAUCCGGAUUAAUACCCCAUACAAGCGUAAAGCCACAUGGUUUAACGGGAAAAGCUCUGGCGGUGGGUGAUGGGCAUGCGUGGCAUUAGUUAGUUGGUGGGGUAACGGCCCACCAAGGCGACGAUGCCUAGGGGGCCUGAGAGGGUAGUCCCCCACACUGGUACUGAGACACGGACCAGACUCCUACGGGAGGCAGCAGUGAGGAAUAUUGGUCAAUGGGCGCAAGCCUGAACCAGCCAUGCCGCGUGCAGGAUGACGGCCCUACGGGUUGUAAACUGCUUUUGCACGGGAAGAAACUCCCCGACGUGUCGGGGAUUGACUGUACCGUGAGAAUAAGCAUCGGCUAACUCCGUGCCAGCAGCCGCGGUAAUACGGAGGAUGCUAGCGUUAUCCGGAUUUAUUGGGUAUAAAGGGUGCGUAGGCUGGCGGAUAAAGUCAGUUGGUGAAAUCCGGCAGCUUAACUGUAGAAUGGCCAUGGAUACUGUUCGUCUUGAGUUCGGUUGAGGUAGGCGGAAUGUGUAAUGUAGCGGUGAAAUGCUUAGAUAUUACACAGAACACCGAUUGCGUAGGCAGCUUACUAAGCCGUUACUGACGCUGAGGCACGAAAGCGUGGGGAGCGAACAGGAUUAGAUACCCUGGUAGUCCACGCCGUAAACGAUGAUCACUAGCUGUUGGCGAUACAUUGUCAGCGGCAAAGCGAAAGCAUUAAGUGAUCCACCUGGGGAGUACGGCCGCAAGGUUGAAACUCAAAGGAAUUGACGGGGGCCCGCACAAGCGGUGGAACAUGUGGUUUAAUUCGAUGAUACGCGAGGAACCUUACCUGGGCUUAAAUGUUGGGUGCAUUCCCGGGAAACCGGGAUUCCCUUCGGGGCUUCCAACAAGGUGCUGCAUGGUUGUCGUCAGCUCGUGCCGUGAGGUGUCGGGUUAAGUCCCAUAACGAGCGCAACCCCUAUCGUUAGUUGCCAUCGGGUCAUGCCGGGGACUCUAGCGAAACUGCCAGGUGUAAACCGCGAGGAAGGUGGGGAUGUCGUCAAAUCAGCACGGCCCUUAUGUCCAGGGCUACACACGUGUUACAAUGGCCGGUACAGAGGGCAGCUACCUGGUGACAGGGUGCAAAUCUCGAAAGCCGGUCCUAGUUCGGAUUGGAGUCUGCAACUCGACUUCAUGAAGCUGGAAUCGCUAGUAAUCGCGCAUCAGCCAUGGCGCGGUGAUACGUUCCCGGGCAUUGUACACACCGCCCGUCAAGCCAUGGAAGCCGGGGGUACAUGAAGUCUGCAACCGCGAGGAGCGGCAUAGGGUAAACUGUAACUGGGGCUAAGU